This 251-nucleotide ribosomal RNA is filed under the name uncultured prokaryote. RNAcentral describes it as "partial 16S ribosomal RNA". It matches the Rfam family "Bacterial small subunit ribosomal RNA", at positions 525 to 775 of the family's 1533-position model. The record is from RNAcentral.
ACGUAGGGUGCGAGCGUUAAUCGGAAUUACUGGGCGUAAAGCGUGCGCAGGCGGUUCGCUAAGACAGGUGUGAAAUCCCCGGGCUUAACCUGGGAAUGGCGCUUGAGACUGGGGGGCUGGAGUACGGCAGAGGGGGGUGGAAUUCCACGUGUAGCGGUGAAAUGCGUAGAGAUGUGGAGGAACACCAGUGGCGAAGGCAGCCCCUUGGGCCGAUACUGACGCUCAGGCGCGAAAGCGUGGGGAGCAAACAG